RNAcentral lists this unclassified non-coding RNA (261 nucleotides) under Glomus sp. RNAcentral describes it as "partial contains 5.8S ribosomal RNA and internal transcribed spacer 2". The stretch from base 1 to 65 matches the Rfam family "5.8S ribosomal RNA", at positions 84 to 154 of the family's 154-position model. Lineage: Eukaryota; Fungi; Glomeromycota; Glomeromycetes; Glomerales; Glomeraceae. The record is from RNAcentral.
GUGAAUCAUCGAAUCUUUGAACGCAAAUUGCACUCUCUUCGGAGAGUAUGCCUGUUUGAGGGUCAGCCUAAAAAAAAUCGACAUAGUUGCUGUUUCGCGGUGACAUUCGUCGGAAAUUGGGCCACCUUAAACCUUUGGGUUUUAAGCGGCUUAAAAUUUUCUUUUCGUUUUCACGAACGUUUUUAAGUUUUUAUUUCUUACACGUUUAAGGUUUCGAUUUUUAUUAGACGUGGCCGUUGGUUCGGAUUCCGUUCAUAAAUA